This 859-nucleotide ribosomal RNA is filed under the name uncultured Sulfurovum sp. RNAcentral describes it as "bacterial SSU rRNA". It matches the Rfam family "Bacterial small subunit ribosomal RNA", at positions 505 to 1362 of the family's 1533-position model. The record is from RNAcentral. Lineage: Bacteria; Pseudomonadati; Campylobacterota; Epsilonproteobacteria; Campylobacterales; Sulfurovaceae.
GUGUCAGCCGCCGCGCGGUAAUACGGAGGGUGCAAGCGUUACUCGGAAUCACUGGGCGUAAAGCGCGCGCAGGCGGCUAGAUAAGUUGGAAGUGAAAUCCUAUGGCUCAACCAUAGAACUGCUUCCAAAACUGUUUAGCUAGAGUCUGGGAGGGGAAGAUGGAAUUAGUAGUGUAGGGGUAAAAUCCGUAGAGAUUACUAGGAAUACCAAAAGCGAAGGCGAUCUUCUGGAACAGUACUGACGCUGAGGCGCGAAAGCGUGGGGAGCAAACAGGAUUAGAUACCCUGGUAGUCCACGCCCUAAACGAUGAAUGUUAGUCGUCGGGACUCUAGUAGUUUCGGUGAUGCAGUUAACACAUUAAACAUUCCGCCUGGGGAGUACGGUCGCAAGAUUAAAACUCAAAGGAAUAGACGGGGACCCGCACAAGUGGUGGAGCAUGUGGUUUAAUUCGAAGAUACGCGAAGAACCUUACCUAGCCUUGACAUAUUUUAGAACUCCGCAGAGAUGUAGAGGUGCCUUCGGGAGCUAAUAUACAGGUGCUGCACGGCUGUCGUCAGCUCGUGUCGUGAGAUGUUGGGUUAAGUCCCGCAACGAGCGCAACCCUCGUUCUUAGUUACUAACGGUUCGGCCGAGGACUCUAAGAAGACUGCCUUCGUAAGGAGGAGGAAGGUGAGGACGACGUCAAGUCAUCAUGGCCCUUACGGCUAGGGCAACACACGUGCUACAAUGGUUAGGACAAUGAGACGCAAUACCGCGAGGUGGAGCAAAUCUAUAAACCUAAUCUCAGUUCGGAUUGUAGUCUGCAACUCGACUACAUGAAGCUGGAAUCACUAGUAAUCGUAGAUCAGCUAUGCUACGG